This 253-nucleotide ribosomal RNA is filed under the name uncultured bacterium. RNAcentral describes it as "partial 16S ribosomal RNA". It matches the Rfam family "Bacterial small subunit ribosomal RNA", at positions 524 to 776 of the family's 1533-position model. The record is from RNAcentral.
UACGUAGGGGGCAAGCGUUGUCCGGAAUCAUUGGGCGUAAAGAGCGUGUAGGCGGUCCGGUAAGUCGGCUGUGAAAGUCCAGGGCUCAACCCUGGGAUGCCGGUCGAUACUGCCGGACUAGAGUUCGGAAGAGGCGAGUGGAAUUCCCGGUGUAGCGGUGAAAUGCGCAGAUAUCGGGAGGAACACCUAUGGCGAAGGCAGCUCGCUGGGACGUUACUGACGCUGAGGCGCGAAAGCUAGGGGAGCAAACGGG